RNAcentral lists this ribosomal RNA (499 nucleotides) under uncultured Glomus. Its description in RNAcentral is "SSU rRNA". It matches the Rfam family "Eukaryotic small subunit ribosomal RNA", at positions 569 to 1073 of the family's 1831-position model. Lineage: Eukaryota; Fungi; Glomeromycota; Glomeromycetes; Glomerales; Glomeraceae. The record is from RNAcentral.
AGCAGCCGCGGUAAUUCCAGCUCCAAUAGCGUAUAUUAAAGUUGUUGCAGUUAAAAAGCUCGUAGUUGAAUUUCGGGAUCAAAUUGUUGGUCGUGCCUCGGUACGCACUGGUAUUAUUGGUUCCUACCUUCUGAAGAACCGCGAUGUCAUUAAUUUGGUGUCGUGGGAAAUCAGGACUGUUACUUUGAAAAAUUAGAGUGUUUAAAGCAGGCUUACGCUUGAAUACAUUAGCAUGGAAUAAUGAAAUAGGACGUUUGAUUCUAUUUUGUUGGUUUCUAGGAUUGACGUAAUGAUUAAUAGGGAUAGUUGGGGGCAUUAGUAUUCAAUUGUCAGAGGUGAAAUUCUUGGAUUUAUUGAAGACUAACUACUGCGAAAGCAUUUGCCAAGGAUGUUUUCAUUAAUCAAGAACGAAAGUUAGGGGAUCGAAGACGAUCAGAUACCGUCGUAGUCUUAACCAUAAACCUAUGCCGACUAGGGAUCGGAUGAUGUAAUUUUUAAU